GAUGAACGCUGGCGGCGUGCCUAAUACAUGCAAGUCGAGCGAACGGAUGAGAAGCUUGCUCCUCUGAUGUUAGCGGCGGACGGGUGAGUAACACGUGGAUAACCUACCUAUAAGACUGGGAUAACUUCGGGAAACCGGAGCUAAUACCGGAUAAUAUUUUGAACCGCAUGGUUCAAUAGUGAAAGACGGUUUUGCUGUCACUUAUAGAUGGAUCCGCGCUGCAUUAGCUAGUUGGUAAGGUAACGGCUUACCAAGGCAACGAUGCAUAGCCGACCUGAGAGGGUGAUCGGCCACACUGGAACUGAGACACGGUCCAGACUCCUACGGGAGGCAGCAGUAGGGAAUCUUCCGCAAUGGGCGAAAGCCUGACGGAGCAACGCCGCGUGAGUGAUGAAGGUCUUCGGAUCGUAAAACUCUGUUAUUAGGGAAGAACAUAUGUGUAAGUAACUAUGCACGUCUUGACGGUACCUAAUCAGAAAGCCACGGCUAACUACGUG
This 497-nucleotide ribosomal RNA is filed under the name uncultured bacterium. RNAcentral's name for it is "partial 16S ribosomal RNA". It matches the Rfam family "Bacterial small subunit ribosomal RNA", at positions 28 to 507 of the family's 1533-position model. The record is from RNAcentral.